CUACCCGCCACGCGCUCCAAACUGGCCUAUAAGGCACAGCCCUCCCCCUACCUCCCCUACUGGGCCUUGGAGAUGUGGGCGCCCCGCGGCACUGGCAAGUCCCUCCAG
RNAcentral lists this long non-coding RNA (108 nucleotides) under Urocitellus parryii (Arctic ground squirrel). RNAcentral's name for it is "WT1 antisense RNA conserved region 1 (ENSUPAG00010019017.1)". It matches the Rfam family "WT1 antisense RNA conserved region 1". Lineage: Eukaryota; Metazoa; Chordata; Mammalia; Rodentia; Sciuridae. The record is from RNAcentral.